GACGAACGCUGGCGGCGCGCCUAACACAUGCAAGUCGAACGAGCGAGAGAAAGCUUGCUUUCUCGAGCGAGUGGCGAACGGGUGAGUAACGCGUGAGGAACCUGCCUCAAAGAGGGGGACAACAGUUGGAAACGACUGCUAAUACCGCAUAAGCCCACGACCCGGCAUCGGGUAGAGGGAAAAGGAGCAAUCCGCUUUGAGAUGGCCUCGCGUCCGAUUAGCUAGUUGGUGAGGUAACGGCCCACCAAGGCGACGAUCGGUAGCCGGACUGAGAGGUUGAACGGCCACAUUGGGACUGAGACACGGCCCAGACUCCUACGGGAGGCAGCAGUGGGGAAUAUUGCACAAUGGGGGAAACCCUGAUGCAGCGACGCCGCGUGGAGGAAGAAGGUCUUCGGAUUGUAAACUCCUGUUGUUGAGGAAGAUAAUGACGGUACUCAACAAGGAAGUGACGGCUAACUACGUGCCAGCAGCCGCGGUAAAACGUAGGUCACAAGCGUUGUCCGGAAUUACUGGGUGUAAAGGGAGCGCAGGCGGGAAGACAAGUUGGAAGUGAAAUCCAUGGGCUCAACCCAUGAACUGCUUUCAAACUGUUUUUCUUGAGUAGUGCAGAGGUAGGCGGAAUUCCCGGUGUAGCGGUGGAAUGCGUAGAUAUCGGGAGGAACACCAGUGGCGAAGGCGGCCUACUGGGCACCAACUGACGCUGAGGCUCGAAAGUGUGGGUAGCAAACAGGAUUAGAUACCCUGGUAGUCCACACUGUAAACGAUGAUUACUAGGUGUUGGAGGAUUGACCCCUUCAGUGCCGCAGUUAACACAAUAAGUAAUCCACCUGGGGAGUACGACCGCAAGGUUGAAACUCAAAGGAAUUGACGGGGGCCCGCACAAGCAGUGGAGUAUGUGGUUUAAUUCGACGCAACGCGAAGAACCUUACCAAGUCUUGACAUCCUGCGACGGUUCUGGAAACAGAACUUUCCUUCGGGACGCAGAGACAGGUGGUGCAUGGUUGUCGUCAGCUCGUGUCGUGAGAUGUUGGGUUAAGUCCCGCAACGAGCGCAACCCUUAUGGUCAGUUACUACGCAAGAGGACUCUGGCCAGACUGCCGUUGACAAAACGGAGGAAGGUGGGGAUGACGUCAAAUCAUCAUGCCCUUUAUGACUUGGGCUACACACGUACUACAAUGGCGUUAAACAAAGAGAAGCAAGACCGCGAGGUGGAGCAAAACUCAGAAACAACGUCCCAGUUCGGACUGCAGGCUGCAACUCGCCUGCACGAAGUCGGAAUUGCUAGUAAUCGCAGAUCAGCAUGCUGCGGUGAAUACGUUCCCGGGCCUU
RNAcentral lists this ribosomal RNA (1332 nucleotides) under uncultured bacterium. Its description in RNAcentral is "bacterial SSU rRNA". It matches the Rfam family "Bacterial small subunit ribosomal RNA", at positions 28 to 1382 of the family's 1533-position model. The record is from RNAcentral.